This 253-nucleotide ribosomal RNA is filed under the name uncultured bacterium. RNAcentral's name for it is "partial 16S ribosomal RNA". It matches the Rfam family "Bacterial small subunit ribosomal RNA", at positions 524 to 776 of the family's 1533-position model. The record is from RNAcentral.
UACGUAGGCAGCAAGCGUUGUUCGGAAUUACUGGGCGUAAAGAGUGUGUAGGCGGUGCUCUAAGUUCGGUGUGAAAUCUCCCGGCUUAACUGGGAGGGUGCGCCGGAAACUGGAGUGCUCGAGCGUGGGAGAGGAAAGCGGAAUUCCUGGUGUAGCGGUGAAAUGCGUAGAUAUCAGGAGGAACACCUGCGGUGUAGACGGCUUUCUGGACCAUUGCUGACGCUGGGACACGAAAGCGUGGGUAGCAAACAGG